UAGUCUGGUGCCAGCAGCCGCGGUAAUUCCAGCUCCAAUAGCGUAUAUUAAAGUUGUUGCAGUUAAAACGCUCGUAGUCGGAUUUCGGGGCAGGUUUGCCGGUCUGCCGAUGGGUAUGCACUGGUAGAACUGUCCUUCCUUCCGGAGACGGCGCCUACUCUUAACUGAGCGGGUGUCGGAGACGGAUCGUUUACUUUGAAAAAAUCAGAGUGUUUCAAGCAGGCAGCUCGCUUUUGCAUGGAUUAGCAUGGGAUAAUGAAAUAGGACUUUGGUGCUAUUUUGUUGGCUUCGAACACCGAAGUAAUGAUUAACAGGGACAGUCAGGGGCACUCGUAUUCCGCCGAGAGAGGUGAAAUUCUUAGACCAGCGGAAGACGAACCACUGCGAAAGCAUUUGCCAGGGAUGUUUUCACUGAUCAAGAACGAAAGUUAGGGGAUCGAAGACGAUCAGAUACCGUCGUAGUCUUAACCAUAAACCAUGCCGACUAGGGAUUGGAGGAUGUUCCUAUGUGACUCCUUCAGCACCUUUCGGGAAACUAAAGUCUUUGGGUUCCGGGGGGAGUAUGGUCGCAAGGCUGAAACUUAAAGGAAUUGACGGAAGGGCACCACCAGGAGUGGAGCCUGCGGCUUAAUUUGACUCAACACGGGGAAACUUACCAGGUCCAGACAUUGUGAGGAUUGACAGAUUGAGAGCUCUUUCUUGAUUCGAUGGGUGGUGGUGCAUGGCCGUUCUU
RNAcentral lists this ribosomal RNA (733 nucleotides) under uncultured eukaryote. RNAcentral's name for it is "SSU rRNA". It matches the Rfam family "Eukaryotic small subunit ribosomal RNA", at positions 557 to 1295 of the family's 1831-position model. The record is from RNAcentral.